GGGAGUUAGCUCAGUCAGUAGAGCGCUUGUUAAGCAAACAUGAAGACCUGUGUUCAAUUCCCAGCUCCCA
RNAcentral lists this transfer RNA (70 nucleotides) under Mus musculus (house mouse). It matches the Rfam family "tRNA". From Rfam's summary of the family: Transfer RNA (tRNA) molecules are approximately 80 nucleotides in length. Their secondary structure includes four short double-helical elements and three loops (D, anti-codon, and T loops). Further hydrogen bonds mediate the characteristic L-shaped molecular structure. tRNAs have two regions of fundamental functional importance: the anti-codon, which is responsible for specific mRNA codon recognition, and the 3' end, to which the tRNAs corresponding amino acid is attached (by aminoacyl-tRNA synthetases). tRNAs cope with the degeneracy of the genetic code in two manners: having more than one tRNA (with a specific anti-codon) for a particular amino acid; and 'wobble' base-pairing, i.e. permitting non-standard base-pairing at the 3rd anti-codon position. Lineage: Eukaryota; Metazoa; Chordata; Mammalia; Rodentia; Muridae. The record is from Rfam by way of RNAcentral.